UACCAAUAUCUCAUGGAGCUGAGU
This 24-nucleotide non-coding RNA is filed under the name Arabidopsis thaliana (thale cress). The record is from RNAcentral. Lineage: Eukaryota; Viridiplantae; Streptophyta; Magnoliopsida; Brassicales; Brassicaceae.